This 5574-nucleotide long non-coding RNA is filed under the name Sus scrofa (pig). RNAcentral describes it as "lncRNA (ENSSSCG00000059863.1)". The record is from RNAcentral. Lineage: Eukaryota; Metazoa; Chordata; Mammalia; Artiodactyla; Suidae.
AGUCGCGCGCGGGCUCUGGCGUCUGGUCUCGCUCCUCUCCUGGUCUUGUUCCUCUCCUGUUCUCCGCGGCAGCUCUAGGAGAGAGAAAACGGCUGGUCUCCGCGGCCCAGCUCUGAGCUCCUCUUCUGCGGACGCACACCUUUGAGAAGCGUCAGCGCAGACCCAGGUCCACCUCCUGAGAAUAGCUCUUAUUUCUGGGGCGCGGCGGCUGGGCGUUCGCACUGCUUGUCAAAAAGGUUGGAAUCUGGAGACGGAAAAUAGGAGAAAAGACGCCCUCGUUUGUGCUCCUCGCCGGUUUCUUCAGAGCCGCAGGUGCCCAGGGUUUCUCCAAGUUUGUGCAGACUUCAACAGUGGGAGUGAAGGAACAGGCCUCUCCCAAUGUUAUGAAAGAGAGACCUUGCUGAUUGGAUGUUCCCGAAAAAGCAGACGCACUUAGAAGAGAUUUCUACUCUGGCUGUCCUCCAGUCCUGCAAGUGCCUGUCAUCGGGUGAACCCAGCUGGAAAUCAGCUGAUUUGGAAGCUGGGAAUUGUAUCUGGUAUUUCUGAAACCACAUCUCAGAUGGGACUUGAAUCCCCAAUCUUUCAACUAAAAACUGCACAACUCAUCCCAGGACUUAAUGAAGCUCAAGUUCUUUAUGUCUCAAUGCAGAAGGAAUUCGGGGAAAGGCAAAGUGAUAGGUAAGAAGUAGAUUUAUUAAAAUAGGAUGUUUGUGAAGGAUACAAGCGGGCAGGAAAGUGGGCUGCAUUUUUCUAAUCAAAGGAAAAGUGGGGAGAGGGAGAAGACCAUCUUCUUGAAAAGAUGUUUCAGGAAAAUGGGGUGUGAGAAGAUAGUCAUGUGCAGGGUCUCAGGUGAGUCUCUGGGAUGGGCCACCAAGUGAGGGUCCUUGGCUUCUCACAGGAGAAAAUGCAAGAGUGAGCCAUAGUAAAGUGAAAGCAGGUUUAUUUAGAGAGAUACACAUUUCAUAGGCAGAAUGAAGUCCACUUCAGAAGGUAAGAAUGGCUCUGGAAAAUACACCCUCCAUAGGCAGAGUAUGGAUCAUCUCAGAAGGCUAGAGUACCUUGGGCUGUGGGCCUGGUUAGUUUUUAUGGGCUGGGUAAUUUCAUAGGCUCAUAAGUAGGAGGAUUAUUCCAACUAUUUUGGAGGAGGGGUGGGGAUUUCUAGGAAUUGGCCUGUGGAUAUGCUGUGUAGCAUGCUAAUGUUUAUUACAGUGAACAUAUAAUGAGGCUCAAGGUCCACUGGAAAUCAAACCUUCUACCAUCUUGGGCCUAGUUGGUUCUAACCAGUUUAUGUGGUAUCUUCAAUGGCUAUGUCCUUCUUUUCAUGGUUGUGCCCUGCCCCCUUCCCUCCUGUCUCAUUUCUCUUACUGGCAACUAAAAAAUCCUUGACUAAGAUAACAUCUUAAACUAAUUUGAACAAGUGGUUUAAAAAUUGUUACAUAUUUUCUUUCUUACAUUUCCAUUUUUCCUGCUUUAAAAUAGUUAGGAAGAUAAAGACAAUGGAAUGCUGGUACUUCUUUUUCACCUGGAUACUCUUUGUACUGAAAACUUUUGUAUUUACAUUACACUCACUUAGAUUGGGACUCUGAAUCCAUGUAAGAGGGAAGCUCUAAUAAGCAUCAGAACUGACUUGGUAUGAUGACUCAACUCCUACAUAAUGAAGGUAUCUGUGUGCAUCCACAUUAUAAUGCUCUGACACACAUAAGGAGCAUGUGUCACCCUGUCACAAUUUCCUGUUUUAAUGCAAGUUCAUACAAAUCCCAAUCUUAUCUUCUUCAGGCCCUCCAAACAUGAUUGGAUUUACUCAAGAUCUACAGUUCCAACUGAUAAAUCCUUAAAGACAACUUGCACGAAUUUGAACUCAUCUUUGUUGCUAAUCUUUCUUCUUCAGGUAUUUUCUUGUCUUAGUGAAUAACACUGCCAGGUACUCUUUUCCAAUCAGAAACCUCAAAACUAUCCUGUUCUUCUAUCCCUCAUGUUGUCCUUGUCCUCUAAUCUCCAGCCACUAUAUCCUGUUGGUUUUACCUCUAUUCAUUCUCUGUCAUCUCUCUUUCAUCUCUUCUGCCCAUGCCCCAAAUCAGACUAUCACUGACUGCCUUCCUAGUUUCCUUGUUUUAAAUUUCACUGUGCUGCUCACUAGUUCAUCCUGCACAUUUUUACUAGCAAGUGAGAUGCUGAUCAUGUUACCCUCCCUAAAAAAAUUCUUCAGAGAUUCCUUGUUACUUAACAGGGUAAUACUUAAGCUCCUUCCUUAGCUAUAAAGGCCCUUCAAUAUCUGUCCCUUCCACCUUAUUCAGUUUCCUGCUCUGGUAACUCCUCCCCCUGCACUCAAGCCUCAUGCUUUACCCUCCAUCAGUGCUUGGAGUCAUCUCACAUCUUAUUCCCUCUGCUUGGAAUGUUCUCUCUCCUAUUUCCUUAAGUCUGUGUGGCAAGCUCUCCUUCAACCAUCAGGACAAGGAUUUACCACUUUUGUGAAGCCUUUUCUGAAUUUCCCAGGUAAGGUGCCCCUCUUCCUCUGUGCCCACAUUGAAAGUUGCACACCGUUCCACUAUAGCUUAAAAUGCAUUAAAUUUAUUUGUAUUUAUUUGUUUCCUCAUUUGAUUCUAAGGUGAUGGAUCCUGUAUUUUAUGUGCAUAUAACUCCAUAUAUGUGUAUUUUUCAGACACAUAAUCCCCCAUAGCCUAGCACAGAUUCUCAGUAAAUAUUUGUUGACUAGGAAUUGAAGAAACAUAAAAGGGAAGGGAGGAAAGAAAAGAACGUAGGGGAAAACUAAAGGUACACUAUUCAAAGUUCUAAGAUACUACUUCAGAUUCCUUGUAGUUGUCUAUCUCCUUUUCUUCUAAAUAAGCUUAGCUCUCCCAAUGUGAAAUAUUUGAAUCAUGGCUAAGACUUCUGUUCAUACCCAUUUGGAUAUAAAUGCUGAACCCAUUCUCUGCAGCCAGGUAAGUUCCUUCAAAAUCCAGCUGUUUUCAUUGGAAGAUCUUUUGUCAGGUACCAGCUCCUUUAUAAUCUUACUUCCUUUUCUUUGACACUCCUGAUACAUAACAAUCUUAGAAGCAAUGAAAACAAAAUUUUCUUUUGAAGGUGGCAGUGACCCUUAAUGAUAGAAGUGCAUUCAGUAAUACCACUGUAUUGCUUAGGAAUUAUAUGAUAUAUUUAAAUAAUCUGAAUAUUUCUACUGCAAAAAUGCAGCAUUAAAGACUUAGAAGCUAAUCAUUUUGAAUGUUUUAUUCAACAAUCAAAAAAUAUAUAUAUUAAUCAAAAACAUCAAUUUCUCGGAGUUCCCGUCGUGGCGCAGUGGUUAACGAAUCCGACUAGGAACCAUGAGGUUGCGGGUUCGGUCCCUGCCCUUGCUCAGAGGGUUAACGAUCCAGCGUUGCCGUGAGCUGUGGUGUAGGUUGCAGACGCGGCUCGGAUCCCGCGUUGCUGUGGCUCUGGCGUAGGCCGGUGGCUACAGCUCCGAUUCAACCCCUAGCCUGGGAACCUCCAUAUGCCGCCGGAGCGGCCCAAGAAAUAGCAACAAUAACAAAAGACAAAAAAAAAAAAAACAACAUCAAUUUCUCAAGGAAAAAUGAACAUACUUUUCUUCCUGGAAGUUCCUACAUUUUAUUUCUUUUGAAUUAACAAAGCUAUAAGUGAUAAAUAAAGAAAAGAAUUGUGACUCUGAGAGUGAAGAAAGGUGAUAAUCAAGAUAUGAUGUUGCUAGUGUAGAACAAUCUUAUUUCCUGAGCAAGUUGGAACAGUCAGUAUAGGUAAAGAGAGAAGUUGACAGUAUACAAUUGUUGGGAAUACAGUAUGUUAGGAUUUUUGUAAGUCAAGGUUUAAAAUGUAAUCAUUAGGUGGGGAAACCGCUGCUCUUAAGACAUUAUCAGGUAUCUGCUGAUUUUAUGGGAAAUAUGGUAAGAAAGAGACUUACAUUCUCUUACUCUAAUAUUCUGCCCUUAAUUCCCUUUUAGUUUCCAUAAAUUUCUAAGUAAUAUAUGCUAAUGAAAUAUUUUUUCUUGUAAACAUUUAUGCAAGUAAAAGAAAAAAUAACUUUUAAAUGUUUAAAUUAUCAGAAAUGAAGGCUUAAAAGGAAACAACUGCUUUUGUAGUUCAUCUUUCUGGAGUCAGCAUUUCUUCAACUAAUUCACUACAAAAACAGUUGCAGUCUUUAUCUUAGUCUUCAUACUGAUUUAAACCAAGGCAAUGAUUGAAACUAUUUCAGACCUAAAAAUAGAAAACAAUAUUCUCUUCCUGCUUCCUUAGUAUAGCUUAGUGUUGUCUCAAGGAGCUCUAUUCUCUGGAUAUGUUCUAUCAUUCUCUUCUGUUAGGUCAGGUUUUGUUUUUUAUAGUUUUACUCUUCCUAAAGCCAUUUUAAUUUCCUUCUGAAGAUAAGCUUUCCAAGGCCAGCUCCUGAUGUUCCUCUCAUUUGCCUGUUGCUUUUGUUCCACUAUAAUACUUACUCUUUCUUCAACAAAUAGAUUCUUAAGUUUCCCACUCUCCAGUUUCUGUUCCUAUAGUUCCUAACUGAAAGGCCUACUAAAUGUGGAUUUCUAAUAGCAUAUUCUGUUCUGAGGGACAUCAUGUUGACAUCUUACCUAUAAUGAGAAGGUGCCUAAUUGUAGUUGCUGGAAAACUCUUUGAAUCACAAAAAGCCUUUUCUUUUUGUCAUUAAUAAUACUUGCCUUUGUUCUCUCGAUUUUCAAAGCAUUGGAGUCUGUCCUCAAUUAGAAAUAUAGAACAUGCGUCCUUCAAAACCACCUCAGACAGCAUAAACCAUAAUUUUUUUGCUAUUCAGCUACUCCCUAAACCCAGAGAGAAAUGUGGGAUUUUAAUGCUUUCCAUUGAAACCCCUAGGUAACCUAACUUUUAUUUUUGCAUUAAAUUAGAUCCCUGGGAGGCUGCAUGGUUGUACUGCAUUAACUUAAGCACCUUAUAGAAUCAAAUGCACUAACUUAUAGUGUAAAAACUCUUGACUUUAAUAGAAGAGUAUUAUAAGAAAAAGUAUUAUGAAUUUACUUUCAUAUUGAAGACAAAACUUUUCUUCAGGAGAUAUUUUUCUUAAGUAAGUUUAUAGUCUCUAUAAGUGUUGAAGGAGAAGUUUCUUUUGGAAUUUAGUUACAGAGAAUAAGCUCCCCAGAAAUCCUUUCUGAUAAAAGUUUUAAAAUAAGAUAUAUUUUUUCCACCCCUACCUGCCCUACUCCAGCCUGCUUGGAUAGUCAGAACAAAAUUUGUUGCUAUCAUAUCAACUAUGUGAGUGCUUUCAAAAUUUCAGACAUUUGCACAAUAGCUUCAUGAUGUUUACCAUAUCCUCAUACCUCCAGAAGAAUUUAUAUUCUGACUUUAAUUAAAUCAUUUUUUUUUUACUUUAGCAAAUGUAUUUUAAAAGAACACUUGGGUUUGAUAUGCUAGCUAUAUUUUUAAUCCACAUCAAAAUAUUAAACUUAAAAUUAUUUGUAUAAUGCUUAAAAUCAUCUCAUGUACUGUCAGUAGUGUAUAUAUCAUAUACUGGAAAACAUUGAACUGUGUUCACUUAGAGUUGGCUUAUUUUGCCUUCCUAUAUCGUUCUGAUUUUCUAUUAAAUAACUUUAUGGU